This 622-nucleotide long non-coding RNA is filed under the name Phoenix dactylifera (date palm). Its description in RNAcentral is "long non-coding RNA (PDAC_LNC001813)". Lineage: Eukaryota; Viridiplantae; Streptophyta; Magnoliopsida; Arecales; Arecaceae. The record is from RNAcentral.
UCAUAUAUAUGUGUAUCAUGCAAACAACAUUUUCAUUAUGCUCAUGGAUUCAUAACUUCUCACAAGUUAUUUUACAUCAAAUUUUAAGCAUAUACUUGUGUAUUUCAUGGUUAUGAUAUAGGCAAAGAAAUCAUUUAGUUUGGGCAAACCAUGAAACAAUUUCUAAGAGCAUAAGUCAAUCAAUAUAUAUAGAGCCAUGAUAUCAAAAAUUAAUAAUUAAAGACCUUAAUCAUGCCAUAAUAAGAUUUAAGUUGUUGACUUUGCUCAAGAAGUAUCUAGAAUUACCAAUUCAUUCUGCAUUCUUCAGUCAAAUACCUACUAGAUUUCUUAUGUAUGAACCUUUGGCUGAAGAAGGUCCUCUCUCUUGUUUGCAUGUGAAUGUUUAUUGUAUCUUACAUGGAGAUAUCCUUCAAGUUGAGAUCUCUCAUUUUCUUGCUCAAGGAUCCUGCAUCAUUAACAAACUCCUUUUCUUUCUUGAAAGAGAGUCAUUAGUUUCUUCAAGAUACAAAACAUUCAUCCAACAUAUUUUUUAACUAGAUGACUCAAUAUAAGAUAUGACAAUAGUUGCAUGUUGAGUCACUUUACUCAAGAGAUUGCCUAAAUAUAAGCAAGCACAUAUCAN